GGGCCGGUAGUUCAGACUGGAAGAAUACCCGGUUUGCACCCGGGAGGUCGGGGGUUCAAGUCCCCCCCGGUCCA
RNAcentral lists this transfer RNA (74 nucleotides) under Thermoprotei archaeon. RNAcentral describes it as "tRNA-Ala". It matches the Rfam family "tRNA". From Rfam's summary of the family: Transfer RNA (tRNA) molecules are approximately 80 nucleotides in length. Their secondary structure includes four short double-helical elements and three loops (D, anti-codon, and T loops). RNAcentral also lists the same sequence under 1 other name. The record is from RNAcentral. Lineage: Archaea; Thermoproteati; Thermoproteota; Thermoprotei.